RNAcentral lists this ribosomal RNA (274 nucleotides) under uncultured bacterium. RNAcentral's name for it is "partial 16S ribosomal RNA". It matches the Rfam family "Bacterial small subunit ribosomal RNA", at positions 523 to 796 of the family's 1533-position model. The record is from RNAcentral.
AUACGAGGGGUGCAAGCGUUAAUCGGAAUUACUGGGCGUAAAGCGUUCGUAGGCGGUUUGUUAAGCAAGAUGUGAAAGCCCAGGGCUCAACCUUGGAACUGCAUUUUGAACUGGCAGACUUGAGUAUUGUAGAGGGUGGUGGAAUUUCCAGUGUAGCGGUGAAAUGCGUAGAGAUUGGAAGGAACAUCAGUGGCGAAGGCGGCCACCUGGACAAAUACUGACGCUAAGGAACGAAAGCGUGGGGAGCAAACAGGAUUAGAAACCCCGGUAGUCC